RNAcentral lists this ribosomal RNA (1200 nucleotides) under Triticum aestivum (bread wheat). RNAcentral's name for it is "partial small subunit ribosomal RNA". The record is from RNAcentral. Lineage: Eukaryota; Viridiplantae; Streptophyta; Magnoliopsida; Poales; Poaceae.
AUGGCGACGGAGAAGGCGCGGCAGCUCCUGGCCCGCCUCGCCGCCACCCCGGACGCCGCCGUUCCUAACCUCCCCUUCCUCCACCGCGCACUCCUCCUCCCUCUCCUCUCCGCUGCCUCCGCUGCCUCCGCCCUCCUCCGCCUCCCCGUCAUCCUCUCCUCCUCUCCGCUACGCUCGCGACGGACCCUACCGGUCCCCGUCAUCAGCGUAGGGAACCUCACCUGGGGCGGCAACGGAAAGACACCCAUGGUCGACUUCCUGGCCCGCAGGUUUCACGCCAUGGGCGUCUCGCCACUCAUCCUAACAAGGGGUUAUGCGGGUGGCGAUGAAUCUAAGAUGCUUCGGAGGCGCCUUGCUGAUACUUCCACCAAGAUUGGUGUUGGCGCAAACCGGGCUGCUGUGGGUUCUUCCAUGUUGCAAAAGUAUGGCCAUGUCGAUCCUUGUGAUGCCUUCUGCCGGGAGAAGUUAGCGUGCAACCGGGUGGCAAGCGGUAAAAGUGCGAAAAUUGGAGUCGCUAUACUGGACGACGGAAUGCAGCACCGGAGCCUGCUUCGAGAUGUGGAGAUUGUGAUGGUCAAUGGGUUGACACCUUGGGGAAAUACCCAUUUCAUUCCACGAGGACCCAUGAGGGAACCGUUGAGCGCACUUACUCGAGCUGAUAUAGUGGUUAUUCAUCAUGCGGAUCUGGCUUGUGAAGCACAGCUGGAAACAAUUGCACGUACAGUCCAGGAUAGUGGCACAACAUGUUCAGUGUUCUUUAGUAAAUUGGCCCCAUCACAUAUUUUUGAGGUUCAUCAACCAUUACAGAGACUAUCUCUUAAUGUGUUGGAUGGCAUUAUUGUGCUAUGUGUUUCUGCGAUUGGCUGCCCAGAUGCUUUCAUACAUACAGUCAGAGAGAUUGGUCCACUUAAUGUUGAUAGGUUGGAUUUCAGUGAUCAUCAUUUCUUCAAUGAUUAUGACCUAGAAUUAAUUCAAGAAAGAGUGAGGCAGCUUGUCGAUCAACAUAACAAACAGACCGUAGUCUUAGUUACUGAGAAGGAUUACGACCGUGAUCCAGAUUUCCUUAGAAUGUUGGGCCUGAAGGUUUGGGUUCUGUCUUCUUCUUUGCAAAUUAUGCCCCUCAAGGAACAAGGAGAAGAUGAAUUGCUGAGGAAAUUAAAAGACAUUAUCACAGCAACUAGGCAUGUGGUCCAGCCAUGA